UACAGAGGGUGCAAGCGUUAAUCGGAAUUACUGGGCGUAAAGGGCUCGUAGGCGGCCAACUAAGUCAUACGUGAAAUCCCUCAGCUUAACUGGGGAACUGCGUGUGAUACUGGAUGGCUUGGAUUUGGGAGAGGGAUGCGGAAUUCCAGGUGUAGCGGUGAAAUGCGUAGAUAUCUGGAGGAACACCGGUGGCGAAGGCGGCAUCCUGGACCAAUAUUGACGCUGAGGAGCGAAAGCUAGGGGAGCAAACGGG
Molecule: ribosomal RNA, 253 nt
Filed under: uncultured bacterium
Lineage: Bacteria
Description: partial 16S ribosomal RNA
Rfam family: Bacterial small subunit ribosomal RNA
Source: RNAcentral